Molecule: transfer RNA, 101 nt
Filed under: Scheffersomyces stipitis CBS 6054
Lineage: Eukaryota; Fungi; Ascomycota; Pichiomycetes; Serinales; Debaryomycetaceae
Rfam family: tRNA
About the family: Transfer RNA (tRNA) molecules are approximately 80 nucleotides in length. Their secondary structure includes four short double-helical elements and three loops (D, anti-codon, and T loops).
Source: Rfam by way of RNAcentral
GCCUGGCUAGCUCAAUGGCUAGAGCGUUUGACUUUUAUAAUCGCAUUUUGUAUGAUUUUAAAGGUAUCAAAAGGUUGCGGGUUCGACCCCCGCGUCGGGCU